This 468-nucleotide ribosomal RNA is filed under the name uncultured bacterium. RNAcentral describes it as "partial 16S ribosomal RNA". It matches the Rfam family "Bacterial small subunit ribosomal RNA", at positions 28 to 507 of the family's 1533-position model. The record is from RNAcentral.
GACGAACGCUGGCGGCGUGCUUAACACAUGCAAGUCGAACGGAAAGGCCCUGCUUUUGUGGGGCGCUCGAGUGGCGAAAGGGUGAGUAACACGUGAGUAACCUGCCCUUGACUUUGGGAUAACUUCAGGAAACUGGGGCUAAUACCGGAUAGGAGCUCCUGCUGCAUGGUGGGGGUUGGAAAGUUUCGGCGGUUGGGGAUGGACUCGCGGCUUGUCAGCUUGUUGGUGGGGUAGUGGCUUACCAAGGCUUUGACGGGUAGCCGGCCUGAGAGGGUGACCGGCCACAUUGGGACUGAGAUACGGCCCAGAGUCCUACGGGAGGCAGCAGUGGGGAAUAUUGCACAAUGGGCGGCAGCCUGAUGCAGCAACGCCGCGUGCGGGAUGACGGCCUUCGGGUUGUAAACCGCUUUCGCCUGUGACGAAGCGUGAGUGACGGUAAUGGGUAAAGAAGCACCGGCUAACUACGUG